CGAAGAAAAAAAAAUGUUUUAGAGCCAUGUUUGAACUGAUGUCAUUUAGGUUGUGUGUAUGGUACAUGCUGGGUAAGCACAUUGUCAGAAACUAGAGGUUCUCAGCUUUCAAGUGAAGUAUCAUACAUCCAUCUGGGACUUGUAGUUGUUGUGUUAUAAGCUUUUCCAUUUGGGUAUGCUAAUUAGGC
Molecule: long non-coding RNA, 188 nt
Organism: Acanthopagrus latus (yellowfin seabream)
Lineage: Eukaryota; Metazoa; Chordata; Actinopteri; Spariformes; Sparidae
Exons: 2
Source: RefSeq, a predicted model, not a curated record